This 2245-nucleotide long non-coding RNA is filed under the name Gallus gallus (chicken). RNAcentral's name for it is "long non-coding RNA NONGGAT003216". Lineage: Eukaryota; Metazoa; Chordata; Aves; Galliformes; Phasianidae. The record is from RNAcentral.
AAAGAACAGGGAGAAACAGCUCUUCUGAAGUGCACGCUCACCCCUCUGACCAGUGGUGCUGAGCAAACACCAUGACACAAGAAGCGUCUGCCUUCAUGCUCCCUGACAAGCUUCCAUCUGACCUUUUGCCGGUGAUCGUGAGCAACACUGACAUCUCUGCCUCAGGGCUGGGGACUGAUGUUAUAAAGAGAGAAACAGAGACAUGAAAAUCUGAAUGGACCCACAGUUUCUUCUUGCUUUCCAUGUCCAUUCCCUCAAGGAGGAGAGGUGAGCAAAUGACACAUGCUAAGCUCCAGCUGACCUCAGCAACGUCCAUAGCAAACACUGCGAAGUCAAAAGCAGUCUUUCCUAGGCACUGACCUCUCCAGGCAAGCGUGAAAAAUGAUGGCAUGCCAAAAUUCAAGAAUUCAGUGUGACCUAACUACAUAAUCAAUUGCACAGAAAACUAAUUAUUUGGCCAAACUCACUGCAGCUCUGAAGAGGCUGAAUCUGAGGUUCCACAGGCCUGAGUGACAAAGACCACUUGUUGAACUUACAUAAAUGACAAAUCACACAACAGUUGUGCAGUUUUAAUCUUUAUUUCCUAAAGACUGUGGUGCAAGUAACAUACCUGUAGAUUAGCUUGCAGAUUCUCCUGACCACUUGAAUGCCACCAUGUUGAGGCUGUACCUACAGCAAGCCUCCCCUUAAAGUCUAAAAACACAGGCAGCAAUUCUCAUGGGUUCUGGUUUUAUGAAUGGUGCCACAUUGUAUGCUUAAGGUAGCCAGAAUGGUGAAAGAUUGUAACAGUAUGAUUUGUGACAAUGACUGUACUUCUGAAGAUUAUCCUUUCUGGUAGAAGUGUAUUUCCACAUCAGAUUAAAUAUUCACUCAGAGAAGAUACAGUUACUUUAAAUGAGGGUAGUCACGAUACUAAAGAUUUAAACAAUCUUUCUAUUCAAAAAACAGGUCACUUCGAGCAAACUUUGUGGGGAGGCAACAAAGAGUAAUCUAGGAGACAAAGAGGUUCCAAAGUGCAAUCUGUGUAUUUCAACAUCACUUGUACCUAUAGGGAAAACUAAGAGACCAACAAAGACCCCUUGCAAGAACCCCUUGACUGAACAGUGCAGGUGCAAUGUUGGAUUUAAUGUGUAUGAGAAUCCUGAGAGUAGGCAAGAACUUCAUGGAAAUUGUAUGAAUAUUCACACGUUAAAUGCAUACAGUGAGGGUGAUUUAGCUCUGGGGUGUGCAUGCUUUGUGGAAGGAUCCCCAUGCACACAGCGCAGCAAUAAACCAAUGUUGUCUUUCUAAACUAUAAUUUGGUUUGGAGAGUUUUCUUAGUAACGUUUUUCUGUAACGUUCAUUUAAAAAUUAAAAAUAAGUUACUUUCUGGAGUCUGGACCAUAUCUGAUCUGAACAAUUCUUUCAACACCUCAUAUGGGUUAGCCCUCAGUGUGCAACAAUGGAAACUCAGUCACUGUAUAGACUUCUCUGAGCAUCCGCACCGCCGCCUGUGUGCUGUGUGGAGCAGCUGUAAUACUUGAUGCUAAACAAGACCUUUAGCUCUCUUACAGCAUUGUACAGAGCUUAACAGCUCCUAUAUGACACAGAUAAGCAAAACCCCAAUUUUAUGAUAGGGAGACUGCAUGGAUUAAACUAUGUACUAAGGUCAACAACAGAGCCAGGUUCAGAACAUGCUUCCAGGAUUGUGCUGCAUUUGUUCCAUGAGUGCUUCAAUCAAGGUGUAGUGGUAAGACCAACCCAGUGGCAGCCCUUUAAGUGGUGCUCCUGUGUUUGCUUGCAGCAUUUCCAAUCACAAAUACUAACACUAUCUUCAGCAGAAGCAGGUGCCUCAGAUUUCUGCACACAAAAUGUAGUAGGACAUGCAUCCAUACAGCCUCAUCUGUGACUCAGUGAAAACAAACUUUUCAGGGGGAAAAUUUGAGCAGAGAUUCUGUUUUACACACCAAUAUCAUACCUGUUACCAAAGGGUUAAGGACAACAAGCAGUGUAAGGGCAGCCGGCACCAAGUAGACAACCUGUUAAUCAAACACAAACUUAGCAAGCUAAGGAAGCAGAAGUAGUCACCCAUAGCAGCACUUCUCUACAACAUUUUAUGAGAUGCACCAAACAGCUGCACAGCUCUCUCCCUGGUACUGCUAGUGCUUCUCUGUGCGCAGAAGAAACCCAGUGCUCUCCACCUGCCACCCAAAAUCCUUGUGUGGCACAGCUGUGAGACCGUCAGCUGAGCACCAGCCCUUGUGCC